Quercus robur (English oak) is the source of this 716-nucleotide long non-coding RNA. RefSeq lists it as uncharacterized. The record is from RefSeq and is a predicted model, not a curated record. The transcript has 2 exons. NCBI's taxonomy places the organism in Eukaryota, Viridiplantae, Streptophyta, Magnoliopsida, Fagales, Fagaceae.
UCUUAUGUUAAAUUUCUAGUUUCUCGAUUAUAUUAGUCUCCCUCUCUCUCCACAAGCCCACUGCUCACAGCCUCUCGCUCUCCCUCUCUCUCGUCACAACCCCUCUCUUUCCUCAGCCUUUGCCACUCGCUGCCAUCGUCCUCUGCCGCUCGAUGCCACCAUUCUCCAAGUGUCUUCCUCUCCACUCUUCUUUUUGUCCUAGCCAUUCUCUGGAAGAUUGUAGAGAAGAUUUUGAUGGUCAAUACUUAUGGCUACUAUGCUUCUCCUUCUUCUAUUAGGUACAGAUGGAGUGGGGAUGUGAUUGUUUAGGUAUGUUUUUGAAACUGAAAUGGAAGAGAGCUGGGGAAGUUCUAGUGGAGUUGAAAACUGGUAACUAGGAUUGUUUUCAUGUUUUAACGGAACAAAAUGGGGGAGUAUUAGUAUAUUGUUGCCUCAAUGAAAAAUGACUUCUAGUUGAUGUGGCCUGCUAUCAAAACUGAGGAUGAUAAGUGGAAUAGAUGUCAAACUUAUCUACCUUCCUUUUAAUGAACAAGCCUAUUAUUCAUCUUUUCAACUCUUGCAAACUUGCCUGGGAGCAGUGUGGUUUGUGUUCUCUUGUAUAUAUUUAGAAAAUUUGGUUAGGAAAUUACAUCUCUGCUACCAAUGUUCUAAUGUAUUGUUGUUAUAACUUGGCUAUGAUGCUGCGGACACUCAAAGACUAGCUCUCUUUAUUUAAA